UGGGGAAUAUUGCACAAUGGGCGCAAGCCUGAUGCAGCCAUGCCGCGUGUAUGAAGAAGGCCUUCGGGUUGUAAAGUACUUUCAGCGGGGAGGAAGGGAGUAAAGUUAAUACCUUUACUCAUUGACGUUACCCGCAGAAGAAGCACCGGCUAACUCCGUGCCAGCAGCCGCGGUAAUACGGAGGGUGCAAGCAUUAAUCGGAAUUACUGGGCGUAAAGCGCACGCAGGCGGUUUGUUAAGUCAGAUGUGAAAUCCCCGGGCUCAACCAGGGAACUGCAUCGGAUACUGGCAAGCGUGAGUCUCGUAGAGGGGGGUAGAAUUCCAGGUGUAGCGGUGAAAUGCGUAGAGAUCUGGAGGAAUACCGGUGGCGAAGGCGGCCCCCUGGACGAAGACUGACGCUCAGGUGCGAAAGCGUGGGGAGCGAACAGG
This 429-nucleotide ribosomal RNA is filed under the name Chloroflexota bacterium. Its description in RNAcentral is "Chloroflexi bacterium partial 16S ribosomal RNA". It matches the Rfam family "Bacterial small subunit ribosomal RNA", at positions 355 to 776 of the family's 1533-position model. Lineage: Bacteria; Bacillati; Chloroflexota. The record is from RNAcentral.